CAGAACAUAGCUAAACUAUAGCUCUUCGCUUACACUGAAAAGUUGCCUGUGCAACCAGGUUGUUCUGA
RNAcentral lists this transfer RNA (68 nucleotides) under Plesiolebias aruana. Its description in RNAcentral is "tRNA-Val". The record is from RNAcentral. Lineage: Eukaryota; Metazoa; Chordata; Actinopteri; Cyprinodontiformes; Rivulidae.